AUUGAACGCUGGCGGCAGGCCUAACACAUGCAAGUCGAGCGGAUGAAGGGAGCUUGCUCCUGGAUUCAGCGGCGGACGGGUGAGUAAUGCCUAGGAAUCUGCCUGGUAGUGGGGGAUAACGUCCGGAAACGGGCGCUAAUACCGCAUACGUCCUGAGGGAGAAAGUGGGUGAUCUUCGGACCUCACGCUAUCAGAGGAGCCUAGGUCGGAUUAGCUAGUUGGUGGGGUAAAGGCCUACCAAGGCGACGAUCCGUAACUGGUCUGAGAGGAUGAUCAGUCACACUGGAACUGAGGCACGGUCCAGACUCCUACGGGAGGCAGCAGUGGGGAAUAUUGGACAAUGGGCGAAAGCCUGAUCCAGCCAUGCCGCGUGUGUGAAGAAGGUCUUCGGAUUGUAAAGCACUUUAAGUUGGGAGGAAGGGCAGUAAGUUAAUACCUCGCUGUUUUGACGUUACCAACAGAAUAAGCACCGGCUAACUUCGUG
RNAcentral lists this ribosomal RNA (484 nucleotides) under uncultured bacterium. Its description in RNAcentral is "partial 16S ribosomal RNA". It matches the Rfam family "Bacterial small subunit ribosomal RNA", at positions 30 to 507 of the family's 1533-position model. The record is from RNAcentral.